AUGGCUCUGGUGAUGAUUUGGGUUUUCCUUGUUGCUUUUUUAAAAGGUGUCCAGUCUGAGGUGAAACUUGUGGAGUCUGGAGGAGGCUUGGUGAAGCCUGGAGGAUCCCUGAGACUAUCCUGUGUAGCCACUUUCAGGGACUACUGGAUACAUUGGGUUCGCCAAGCUCCAGGGAAGGGGCUGGAGGGGGUUGGAGGUAUUAAUACAGACAGCAGUACUAUAAGAAAAGCACCAUCUGUGAAGGAUCGAUACACCAUCUCCACAGACAAUGCCAAGAUCACUCUGUACCUGCAAAUGAACAGUCUGAGAUCUGAGGACACAGCCAUUUAUUACUGUGCUAAUGACACAGUGAUGGAAAUUCGGUGUUUAUUCAGACAUAAACCUCACUGUUAG
Molecule: non-coding RNA, 393 nt
Organism: Microtus oregoni (creeping vole)
Lineage: Eukaryota; Metazoa; Chordata; Mammalia; Rodentia; Cricetidae
Source: the annotation of a RefSeq genome assembly